AGUGAACGCUGGCGGUAGGCCUAACACAUGCAAGUCGAACGGCAGCACAGUAAGAGCUUGCUCUUACGGGUGGCGAGUGGCGGACGGGUGAGGAAUACAUCGGAAUCUACUUUUUCGUGGGGGAUAACGUAGGGAAACUUACGCUAAUACCGCAUACGACCUACGGGUGAAAGCAGGGGAUCUUCGCACCUUGCGCGAUUGAAUGAGCCGAUGUCGGAUUAGCUAGUUGGCGGGGUAAAGGCCCACCAAGGCGACGAUCCGUAGCUGGUCUGAGAGGAUGGUCGGCCACACUGGAACUGGAACACGGUCCAGACUCCUACGAGAGGCAGCAGUGGGGAAUAUUGGACAAUGGGCGCAAGCCUGAUCCAGCCAUACCGCGUGGGUGAAGAAGGCCUUCGGGUUGUAAAGCCCUUUUGUUGGGAAAGAAAAGCAGCAGGUUGAUACCCCGCUGUUCUGACGGUACCCAAAGAAUAAGCACCGGCUAACUUCGUG
Molecule: ribosomal RNA, 492 nt
Filed under: uncultured bacterium
Lineage: Bacteria
Description: partial 16S ribosomal RNA
Rfam family: Bacterial small subunit ribosomal RNA
Source: RNAcentral